CGGCUCACCACGGGCCACAUCCCCUGGUGGACAAUUCUUGAGAACCCCUUGGGGACAACUUUGGCAGGACCUGGGGGCCAGCUUGGAGUCCUUUUCUCUCUAGAACUGAGGUCAACUCAAGGCCCUCCACCUGCCUCUAAUAGAAGACCACCCACGCCCUGCUCCCUGGGGGGUUCUGUUCUCUGUGGAGUGGCCUGAGCCUGCUGAGGUGGCCUGGGAUGACGUUCCCUGAGGUUCCCUGCUUCCUCCUCCACCAGCCCAGGCCAGAUCAGUUCUCCCAGAUGGCAAGCUCUUCUCUCCAGGAGGGGAGACCAAGGCCAGGGGGCGGGGAUGACAGGGUUGGUGCUUGGUGGCUGCCGUGCUGGUGACCUGGCUGCCCCUUGCACGGCCUCCAGACGUCCUUCAGCAGGGGGCUCUGACCCGUUUCUGUCACCCUAGCUCCUCUCCCACGUAGCAGCCAGGCAUGGCAGGCUGGGGUGGUGGCUCUGGUCCAUGGUUAGGAGAAAUGUGAGCCUCAAGUUCCAGCUAGAGUUCCUCCCCAGGGGACAGGUGGCUGGGAUGCUCAAUAGGUAGCCCCAGCAGUUGGCACUCCUUGCCAAGGGCAGCCACGUGGUUCUGGGAGGCACCAGGGCCUGUCUCAUUUUGAGAAAAGGCUGCGCAUCCCUUUGGCACUGGGCUGGCCCCUCUCGGAUCAGCAGGUCCCAGUGGUAUCAGGCGAGCAGCCUGGGCUCUUUCGGGCCUUGCCUGGCCUGGCUGCCUGCCCAGAGAAAUACCGCCAUCUUUGAUGGCUUCUCUUCUCCUUAGCUGGUGAAAUGCUCCCGUCUCUGAUGUGCCUUCUGUUUAAUUUCCGGGGGCUUCCUUCUCCCCCUGAUGAUCAGAAGCCACAGCCUGCUGACUGGUUCUGCAGUGUGUCUGCUUCUCUGCUGGUCUGGGGGCUGGAGCACCACUGAUCCACCUGUAUCCCAAGGCCCUGCCUGACUCAGAGCCUGGUACAUGUCCAUGGAAGGAGUGAAUGAGGGGUGAAUGCGGAGAAACCCAGGAGGACAUUUUUGAAGAAAAUAAAAACAGGUGACCAUGAAGGAGGGACUCUGGCCAAG
Molecule: long non-coding RNA, 1097 nt
Filed under: Marmota monax (woodchuck)
Lineage: Eukaryota; Metazoa; Chordata; Mammalia; Rodentia; Sciuridae
Source: RNAcentral